CUUAAGAGAUGGAGAGCAGCGGACGGGUGAGUAACGCGUGGGAAACCUGCCCUUGACAGGAGGAUAGCCGAGAGAAAUUUCGAUUAAUACUUCAUAAAGCAGAGCAUUCGCAUGGAUGAACUGCCAAAGAAUUAUCGGUCAAGGAUGGUCCCGCGUCUGAUUAGCUGGUUGGUAAGGUAGCGGCUUACCAAGGCGACGAUCAGUAGCCGGCCUGAGAGGGUGAACGGCCACAUUGGAACUGAGACACGGUCCAGACUCCUACGGGAGGCAGCAGUGGGGAAUAUUGCACAAUGGGCGAAAGCCUGAUGCAGCAACGCCGCGUGAAGGAAGAAGGCUUUCGAGUCGUAAACUUCUGUCCAAAGGGAAGAAUAAUGACGGUACCUUUGAAGAAAGCCCCGGCUAACUACGUGCCAGCAGCCGCGGUAAUACGUAGGGGGCGAGCGUUAUCCGGAAUUACUGGGCGUAAAGAGUAUGUAGGUGGUUAAGUAAGCGUAGGGUUUAAGGCGACAGCCCAACUGUCGUAUGCCCCGCGAACUGUUUAACUUGAGUACAGGAGGGGAAGGCGGAAUUCCUAGUGUAGCGGUGAAAUGCGUAGAUAUUAGGAGGAACACCAGUGGCGAAGGCGGCCU
This 629-nucleotide ribosomal RNA is filed under the name uncultured Clostridium sp. Its description in RNAcentral is "bacterial SSU rRNA". It matches the Rfam family "Bacterial small subunit ribosomal RNA", at positions 78 to 727 of the family's 1533-position model. Lineage: Bacteria; Bacillati; Bacillota; Clostridia; Eubacteriales; Clostridiaceae. The record is from RNAcentral.